Molecule: long non-coding RNA, 3486 nt
Organism: Varroa destructor (honeybee mite)
Lineage: Eukaryota; Metazoa; Arthropoda; Arachnida; Mesostigmata; Varroidae
Source: RefSeq, a predicted model, not a curated record
CCAAACGGGGGUUGUUCAAGCAAGCUGCUGCUGCUGCUGCUGUUGUUCGCGUUUCACAAAUUUACAUUGGGGAGAAACCCUCUCUAACGCUCUGGCAAAUCCCGCUUUUUCGCGAGAUCUCCUGCUAUACAUAUGUAUCUUGCCUCUCGUCCUCUUUCACUUCCCUGCUAAGUUUCGUUUAUUAAGUUUAAUGACGCGGCGGUAGCUCGACCAUGCCAAAGAACAGGAAGGAACAAGCAACAACCGCUAAGUGCACCCAACUGUAAGACUAGAAAGAAGUGACGGGUAGUUGCACCAGCAGCCAGUAUCGGAGUCUCAGCGAAGAACAAGGAGAGAUACCCAAAAAGGCGAAGCAGAAUGGGCCUUUUUUUCGGUUGCUCUCUUCUGUUGGCCUCCUAACAACUUGCACGUCGAGCAGCAGUGGUCCGAUUCAAGAAUCAGUUUAUGACCGAAAGAAGGAUUAGGGAACUGUACAAAAAAAAAAAGGACUGACGAAAUUGAACUGAUACAAGUAGUGAAAGCACUAGCUGUGCUGAUAAGGAGAGGCGAUGCUCUGCGUAGUUAGAUAUUGACUUACUACAUCAACUACUAGUUAUUGCUCUGGCUAUAAUCCAGGAAAUGCUUGAAAUUAGCAGAAAACAAUUUCAGAAAAUCAGUGAUAUGUGGCAGACCGAGAUCAAUUCUUCCGGCCGUUGUAUACAGGAAUCAAUCCGUUUCUAUAAGGCAUGCGGACUUUUACUCAAACCACGGUGCUGGGCUUUGCGCGUUCGAAGUGGCUUUUCACGUUGCCCCAAGUUUCGCGACACUUCAACGACAAUCUUAAAUCGCUUUUACCUUCCUUAACUUCAAUAUCGCUGAAUCACGACGAAGGGAGCUGAAUCGUUGUAUUGUCAACCGGCUUUUUGAUAUGUGAAAAAGAGUCGCGCGCUUCCAUCAAAGCCCCGCGUUCAUUUGAAUGAAUGUAGUCACGUUCCAUGUUACGGAGACUAGCUCACUGACCUGGAAAACUUCCUCUUUAGCUGUAGUACAGCGCAUUUUUCUUUAUCCUUGCCAAAACUUUGUUGUAUUUAGAGGUCCUUAAUGCACCGGCCUUGUCAGAGCUUUCUAGUUUCACAGAUAUUAGUAAAUCCAGUUGUCACCUAUGAACUGUUCAUAAAUCCAAGAUGAGCGUACGCACUAUCUCGCAUCAUCUAAUAUUGGCUCAAGCUUUCCACUGGCAUUUAAAGAUCGAGGGUCUUCCAUUUUUUUUUUCUUUCAGAUUCCCUUCUGUGUCGUAUUGCUCUCGUUUACGGGGUGUUCGGACUAAACUUGGACCCAUUUCGCGAGCUGUACAUAGCAACGGCGGCUUGCGCUCAUCGAUAAUAGUUGAAAAUAAACGAAGGCGUACUUCCCGCGAACCGCUCUAUUUCGUCGGUUUUCGUUUCGACCUUUGCUAGUGGUGCCAAUCAAGAUCAUCAUACGCAUCCGUUAUGCUUUUGCCUACUCCCAGAACUCGCUGGUUCGGACCCAACUGCAGACAAAUCUCUUUAUAGCGGGAGAAACACAUCGCGUGUGUGCGUCCGUAUCAAAGCUCUUCUAGAAAGAUAUCGUACAUCACCAUGAGGGAGGCCCACGUUGCAACAAGCUUGUUGCAGGCAGAUUCAAGUCAAGAAAGCAGUGUCCAUUAUUAUAGCAGGGCACGCUUUGAGAGAAGGAAGUAUAGACGCCACCUAAGCCUUAGCAUGAGCUAAAGCCUUAGCUUUGCCAUUGCAACAGCUACCAGUACAUCUCGUGCCAAUUACUCUUCUCUUCUUCCUCAGGACACCGGCGGCAGCCUAGAAAGAGAUCAUAAUUCGUUCUUAAUAAAUUGCAACUUUGCUCCGACAACUUUGCAUGACGGUUGAAUUGAGAAAACAAAGAUGGCUGGACUGUACCCCGUAUGUCCAUAGGCGUGCUAGGGCACUGUGAGCGUACGUGCGGCCACACGAAAGAGUCAAGGGUCCUUUCAAGUCGUGGCGUUCGUUCAACGCCACGUCAAUUCGGCUUGCUUCUUACUCAGCGGGCGCGUCGCUUAGCGUUCGCCUCCUUCAAUAAGUAGGCAGCGGUAGCGGCAGCAUCGUCUCUCACCGAAUCACUUCCUGUUCCUGCUUUUACUUGUUCUCCGCCUUUUUUCGCGUCAUCGUGAUCAUCGCCGUCGGGCGUUGAACAAAAUACUCGUGCGCACAGACUUCCUGUAAGGAAAGGAAACCUUCGAACGCCAUCGCUUAGACCCCUUCGUUGAGGCUCUUUUAUUCUUUCGCCGACUCUCUGCCGUUAGCUAUAUCGGUAGUGCAAAACAGGGACCACUUCGUUCUCCCGUUUCUCGUGAAGGACAGAAAAUAGUGAAAGCUACCGAGAAACGAAAGACCGUACCAGAGAACCAACGACACCAACGGGUAGUGGCGGGAAGUGUAGGCUGCUGCCGCCGCCCGCCAUUCUACGGCCUAGCCACUUGCCAUGACAAACUUUUGACAACAAUAUCCCCAUGCCCUCGUGGCUCUCCGUCGCCAGUAUUUCUUUUUGGUAUAUGGAGAGAAAGAGUGCCAUCUGUGAGGGCGAAUUGACGGGCCCGUUAAGGUGGGACAGUGGCGCUCCAGCGCUAGCAAGUGAAGAAUAGGAGGAUCAGGAAAAGAAAUAGGAAGAGGUAUGAAGAGAGAAAUGUGAGAACGAGUAAGCAUGACCACUUCUGAGUGAGUCUUUUGAGCGACGGCCUGAUUACGCAGGCGACUUUUUCCCCAGCAGCGGCCCUGCCAGACUCAAUCAGGAGAGACCUGCGGAAGCUUCUGAGAGCCAACAGCGGUAGCCGCCAGCCGUCACUGCUCCCUGCGGUUCUUGCCUUACACCUGCUUGGUUCACCGACAAAAACUUCUUUUAUUAAUGUUCACACCGCGGAGCCUUACCUGUACCGAUUGCUACACCAACAGCAAUGUGUAAAAAGGCCAACUUGCGCGAUUCAGAGGAAAAUACGGAGUAAAAUCGAUGCUGAUGAUAACGUUGAUAAACUGAAGUCAGCGAUGCGUACAAAAGGAAAAGCACGCUGUUAACCAAAGACGGGCUUGGGGGUGUGUAAAUGUGCCUAGAUGUUUGCUUGUUCUCUUCCCAUUUUUAACCUUUACAAUAACAUGGAUGCAUAUAAUACUAUACAACGACACUUCUAAGCCAAGUAGAUGCCCGAAUAUUGUGAUCUACGACGUAGCAAUCAUCGAUACGACUGAUUUUUCCAAAGGGGAAAAACGUUCCCUCUUACUAUGUUGCUGGAAUUACCAGGAAAUUGUGUAUCAUUAGAAACAUUUGCUUCAUGGCAGUUUGCAAAAUGCUGGUAAAACUACUAUGACUAAUUCACCAAUACGAUGAUACAAAUAUGGAACUUAAAAUUAUAUAUAUAAAAUUCCAUCGCUUCAAGUUACAAAAAAAAAAAACCUCAUCCUUGAUGUAAUAGAAUUGUACUUGGGCUAAAAAAAGGACAUG